GACGGAGGAUGCAAGCGUUAUCCGGAAUGAUUGGGCGUAAAGCGUCCGCAGGUGGCAGUUCAAGUCUGCUGUGAAAGACCGGGGCUUAACUUCGGAAAGGCAGUGGAAACUGAACAGCUAGAGUAUGGUAGGGGCAGAGGGAAUUCCUGGUGUAGCGGUGAAAUGCGUAGAGAUCAGGAAGAACAUCGGUGGCGAAGGCGCUCUGCUGGACCAUAACUGACGCUGAGGGACGAAAGCUAGGGGAGCGAAUGGG
Molecule: ribosomal RNA, 253 nt
Filed under: uncultured bacterium
Lineage: Bacteria
Description: partial 16S ribosomal RNA
Rfam family: Bacterial small subunit ribosomal RNA
Source: RNAcentral